RNAcentral lists this unclassified non-coding RNA (208 nucleotides) under Hevea brasiliensis (rubber tree). The record is from RNAcentral. Lineage: Eukaryota; Viridiplantae; Streptophyta; Magnoliopsida; Malpighiales; Euphorbiaceae.
UGUGGGUCUAGAUUGCAAAGGUUGGAAACGAAACUACUUGCCUCAUCCCGACGAUUAAGUUUACAAAACCAAUCUACUAGAGAGUUGUAUGUAUUCUGAUUGGGCUUACAUCCAUUCUUUAUCAUAUAUCGCACCACGUCGAUCGCCUCUAUGAACAUUGAAUCGGAUGCAUAGCUUGCAAUGAAGGUAUUAUAUGUAAUUACAUCAG